CGAUCACCUCCUAAAUUCGUUAUGCCAUGCCCAGAACCCACUAAAAGAAAACCUCUUCUUCAGGUUCGUCCCUCCCACCAAGACGAGGGCCGAGGGCUGCGCCGGGGCGCGGAAGACCACGGGGAGGAGGGCCUUUGGCUCUGGGGAAGGAGACCACACGAAGCGGGAGUUGGAUGUGGUGCUGGCAGUAUUCCGAUUCCGGCAUUCUCUUGCCCCGACGCCGCAUCCCUCGAGUGCCGCCACAGGUCGCUCCGCCCGGCGACCGAAAUCUGACGGCAUCCUCCGCAACCUCACGCCAGAGAAGGGACAGCCUGGAUGUGGUCACUGCGUCCUCGCUCCUCAUGGCGGUCACUCCACCGGGAAAAAAUCGCUCCACCGAUCUGCCCGUCAUGGAACACAGGACGUUAGUCUGGGAGCCGCCGCUGCCUUCUCAGGUCCACGCCAGGCACGAUUUAAGCUGCUGCUGUCUCUCUCGAAUCCGGGGGACUGGACUAGCUGCAUCUGCCUCUCUGACGGGAAAACCGUUGUUGACGCCACCGGUGACGAUCACCAAUCAUCUUGCUUUCCCCCACGCGGAAGCAUUAUUCUAUUCCGGCAUGGCGUGCAGGUGGAUGCGGUACGUGUUUCUGGGACGACUGUAAGGUACACGACGGAGUUCUGCAUCCGCAACCCGCUGCUCGGACACGCUUCCAUCUGUUGGUUUAUGAGGUAAUUGACAUUUGUGUAUGACUUGAGCUGUCCUAAAUUUGAUUGAUGUUGGUAAGGCGCAUUAGUAUUAUCACUCAUAUUGGUUAAUUUUCAGGGCUCCCUAGAAUAAUUCGAUGGUCGAUGGCCUAAGAAUGAUACAAGUGAGAGGUUUAGUCAUGGUUAUUAAGGGUGGUUGUUUGUGCCUUCGGCAAGCAUGGAAAGCCUUUUCAAAAUGGAUUUGUAUUCAUGUUUCAGAUGAUCUCCUAUAGUACUUAUUGUAUUCCUAUUGAUGAACCGAAACAUUUUUCAUAAUGAGUUCUCUGCAGUUUGUGUAAUUUCACUUGCUGUAUCGAUCACACCCAGGCUCUAAACACCUGCCACUUCUUUCACGGCCACCUGAAGCCUAACUAUAGGGCUUGAGUUUUAGUUUCAUUUCGUUCGGUCCAGCUUGUGUGCUAUUUCGUUAGCCUUGGUAUUUUGGUUUCAGUUGUCAUUAGCGUCAUCUUGGUGUUUCUUCUAAUGCAAAAUGAUGUAUGUUCUUUAUAAAAACAUCUAGGCUCUAAAUUAUGUGGUUGCUUAAAUGCUAUCGACUGUAACAACUUUGAUUUUUUUCUGGUCUAGAUCCUGCAAGAUUGAACUCUCAGUUUGACAUCAUAUCUUAUUUUUCCAGAUCAUUUCCUAGAAGACUGACACCCAAAAUUUUGGCUUUUGGUUGUCUGAACGUCUACCUUUUUGCUUGUGAAAAGAGUCCAGCUGAGUAGAAUUGAGGAGCUCAAUUUUCAAACCUGUGAACAAAUCGACAUCGCUGAGAUCCACGAUUUGCAAAAAAAUCUUACAUUGAUUGGUUCCCUAGAAAAAGACUGAAUCAUACUUGAAGAAAAGCUAAAGCGUCAUCAGGUACACUGUAGGUUUUCUACCAAAAGAAGAACUCUGUCCUUGGUUCUCUGUAUCACUCUACUAUCUCCGUGUUGAUCCAAAACCUGAAGGAUUCAAGGCACCAACAAGUUCUUAAUGAGCCUUUCUCCCUCGCUGGUAUUCUGUUGUGUCUCCUUGGAGCUUACUUUUUCCUUCCAUUGAAUGGAUUUUGCAUUGAGAAAAUAUUUGGCCAAAAGAAAAUGGAUUUACUUUGAAAGUAUUCCUUUCUACCAUGGUACGGAGCAUGAAAAGUUUCCCGUCGACUUACAGUUUACAGGGCCUGUAAUAGGUGCUACGGAUAUGGAUAUUCAGACAUAAAAUUGAAAUAUUAGCAUGCCAAGCAAUGUCUGAUGUGUUGUUCUGGAGUUGGAGUACCUUGCUGGUGGUGCAACUUAAUUCUACUUCGACAUAUCCACAUAUAGAUCAGAGGAGAACAAUAGCAAGAAAUGGGACUUUAUUGCCCAUAACGUACAGUUCACAACGGAAAAGGAGAAAACAAGCUAUGUCUUGACUAAGGUACAAAGGAAACAAGUAAUGAGUUGUAUAUUGUUUACGACAUAGUAGUUGUCAUCCACUGUACCAAUAUGACUUCUGACCAUGUGGUCUACUGAUCGUUUUGAAUAAUGCAUAUUAGGUAUGUUUUUAUGUUGCAUUUGUUCUAUGAUGUUGAUUAUAUCUUUGCCCAUACAUCUUAAGUUACGUUUCAUUUCUGAAGCAUAUUAAGUUGCAGCAUAUUUUAACAACAAUUGUUUGUGAACUCAGCUAAGAGAUAUUUAUGUCUUUACUGGUGCAGAUUAGCUUUGAUCACUUGGUUGUAAAAUCAUGUUGCCAUGCUAAUAAUAUCAUCUCUUAACUUGAUAUUGUGCACUCAGCUCGAUAUUUGGUUAUGUGCAAUUUACUGCAACAUGAGAUUUAAUUAUGAUAAGCUUCUAGAUCCUUGUAGCUCCUUUGGAUCUGUCAAUUUAGUUUGUCUUGAAGCCGGACCAAGUACAAUGAAGUUUUAAUUGACAGAGACUUUUAUCAUUACAUACAUGAGAAUAAAUUUCCAUUGCAAAUGGUUGAACAAUAACCAGGCUGCCAGUACUUUGGCCUAUUUGCCAUGAUACAUAUACUGUGGAUUACAGAAUUUUGCUCCCGUCAGCCUUCUACACAACUCUCUGAUCUGGUGUGUUUAUGGUCUCAGUAUGAUAUUUAUAUCAUUUGGUUUCUACUUUGGUCACUCAAGUUCCUAUUUCUGAAGAAGAAUUGAGUGGGUUCAAAAUUAGUGGUUAGAGGAGUGAAUUUUUCAUAUGUUUAUUAGAUUUUAAAGCUCUCUUACUACACUUAGGUGAAAAGUUCGUGCAGGUUGAGGAACAAAAGGGAAUAGUUAUUCCCUUCAUGAUAGGGCAUAGGUAACCAGUCAGUUCUUGUACUUUUUAAUACGAAAAGGGCAAAGGGAUAUCGUAUUGCAAUAAGGAGUACAAACAAUAUGAGAGUUUUGUGCUCUAUAUUAUUUGGUUAUUUAAAUGUUACAGAUGGUACCAAAUCCUUCUCGGUUAAGUUAUAUUUUUACAUGAUCUGAUAUAAUUUAUUCUAGACUUGACCCUACAAAAUUAAAAUUUGAAUUUCACAUUAGAUCUUAUUUUUUAGGACCACUUCAUAAAAGAUCCAUACCCAAAUUGUUGGAUUUUGGCCGACACAUACCCUUUUUGCACAUGGAAAGGUUUGUAUAGGUGAACUCUUCAAUUGGGCAUGCAUCAACAUUUUCUGUGAUAGAAUCAGUGAUGUC
Non-coding RNA from Lolium perenne, 3370 nucleotides. NCBI's taxonomy places the organism in Eukaryota, Viridiplantae, Streptophyta, Magnoliopsida, Poales, Poaceae. The record is from RefSeq and is a predicted model, not a curated record.